Molecule: ribosomal RNA, 450 nt
Filed under: uncultured Glomeromycotina
Lineage: Eukaryota; Fungi; Glomeromycota
Description: SSU rRNA
Rfam family: Eukaryotic small subunit ribosomal RNA
Source: RNAcentral
AGCAGCCGCGGUAAUUCCAGCUCCAAUGGCGUAUAUUAAAGUUGUUGCAGUUAAAAAGCUCGUAGCUGAAUUUCGGGGUUAGUAGGUUGGUCAUGCCUCUGGUAUGUACUGGUCUCACUGAUUCCUCCCUCCUGAUGAACCUUAAUGCCAUUAAUUUGGUGUUUUGGGGAAUUUGGACUGUUACUUUGAAAAAAUUAGAGUGUUUAAAGCAAGCUAACGCUUGAAUACAUUAGCAUGGAAUAAUGAAAUAGGACGUUCGAUCCUAUUUUGUUGGUUUCUAGGAUUGACGUAAUGAUUAAUAGGGAUAGUUGGGGGCAUUAGUAUUCAAUUGUCAGAGGUGAAAUUCUUGGAUUUAUUGAAGACUAACUACUGCGAAAGCAUUUGCCAAGGAUGUUUUCAUUAAUCAAGAACGGAAGUUAGGGGAUCGAAGACGAUCAGAUACCGUCGUAG